UACCCCGGGGAUAACAGGCUUAUCUCCCCCAAGAGUUCACAUCGACGGGGAGGUUUGGCACCUCGAUGUCGGCUCAUCGCAUCCUGGGGCUGUAGUCGGUCCCAAGGGUUGGGCUGUUCGCCCAUUAAAGCGGUACGCGAGCUGGGUUCAGAACGUCGUGAGACAGUUCGGUCCCUAUCCGUCGUGGGCGUAGGAAAUUUGAGAGGAGCUGUCCUUAGUACGAGAGGACCGGGAUGGACAUACCUCUGGUGUACCAGUUGUCGUGCCAACGGCAUAGCUGGGUAGCUAUGUGUGGACGGGAUAAGUGCUGAAAGCAUCUAAGCAUGAAGCCCCCCUCAAGAUGAGAUUUCCCAACUUCGGUUAUAAGAUCCCUCAAAGAUGAUGAGGUUAAUAGGUUCGAGGUGGAAGCAUGGUGACAUGUGG
Molecule: ribosomal RNA, 423 nt
Filed under: Staphylococcus aureus
Lineage: Bacteria; Bacillati; Bacillota; Bacilli; Caryophanales; Staphylococcaceae
Description: partial 23S ribosomal RNA
Rfam family: Bacterial large subunit ribosomal RNA
Source: RNAcentral